GAUGAACGCUAGCUACAGGCUUAACACAUGCAAGUCGAGGGGAAACGAUAGAGAAAGCUUGCUUUUCUAGGCGUCGACCGGCGCACGGGUGAGUAACGCGUAUCCAACCUGCCCAUCACUUGGGGAUAACCUUGCGAAAGUAAGACUAAUACCCAAUGAUAUCUCUAGAAGACAUCUGAAAGAGAUUAAAGAUUUAUCGGUGAUGGAUGGGGAUGCGUCUGAUUAGCUUGUUGGCGGGGUAACGGCCCACCAAGGCGACGAUCAGUAGGGGUUCUGAGAGGAAGGUCCCCCACAUUGGAACUGAGACACGGUCCAAACUCCUACGGGAGGCAGCAGUGAGGAAUAUUGGUCAAUGGACGAGAGUCUGAACCAGCCAAGUAGCGUGCAGGAUGACGGCCUAUGGUUGUAAACUGCUUUAUAAGGGAAUAAAGUGAGUCUCGUGAGGCUUUUGCAUGUACCUUAUGAAUAAGGACCGGCUAAUUCCGUGCCAG
Molecule: ribosomal RNA, 491 nt
Filed under: uncultured bacterium
Lineage: Bacteria
Description: bacterial SSU rRNA
Rfam family: Bacterial small subunit ribosomal RNA
Source: RNAcentral